UUCUUUAUUUUAAAAAUUUUAUUACUUAAGUAGUGUGAACAGGAAAUUUGUAAAAAAUAUGUAAGAUGUAUUUAGAAUGUUUAAAACUUAAAAGGCUUGGCGGUAUUAUAUAUCCUUCCAGGGGAGUUUGCUUAUUAAUUUGAUAAUCCUCAAUUUAUACUUACUUUUUUUUGAAUAUACUAUAAAUCAGUUUGUAUAUUGCUGUCAUCAGUUUAUUUUGUAAAAAUUUUAUAAGAGACUUUAUAAUGAGGUGAUUGGUAUGUCAAGUCAAAAUGCAGCUAAUAAAAAAGGUUUAUAAAGUGAGCUACAAUUUAUAAUUUUUAAAUCGGAUUGGAUUAUGUAAUUUGUCCAUGAAGUCGGACUUGGUAGUAAUAUUAAUAAUUAGUAGGUUUUUAUGAAUAUGGUUUUAUAAUGCG
This 416-nucleotide ribosomal RNA is filed under the name Heteroteuthis hawaiiensis. Its description in RNAcentral is "partial 12S ribosomal RNA". The record is from RNAcentral. Lineage: Eukaryota; Metazoa; Mollusca; Cephalopoda; Sepiida; Sepiolidae.